Molecule: long non-coding RNA, 301 nt
Filed under: Elaeis guineensis (African oil palm)
Lineage: Eukaryota; Viridiplantae; Streptophyta; Magnoliopsida; Arecales; Arecaceae
Description: long non-coding RNA (EGUI_LNC062251)
Source: RNAcentral
CUUAACCAAUGAGCGUGGAGACACUGGUAUGGCAUACAGGUGAGAUGUAAGGGUACAUCUAUACUGAACGUGACCGACUCCGGAGCUAUUUCUGCUGUCAAGAUUUGCUCCGAUGGAAUAUGGGUAUAAAUAUCCCUCCGACCUGAGACCACCACGGUGACUUGCAAGCAACUCACUGCACUUAGGCACUGGACUACCUGAAUUUCUAAUUCAGUGACGGAAGGCUGCUGGGUAUAGUCAAGUACUUGACUUGUCGGUGCAUGUGUCAAGAUGGGAUUGACCACUCCAGUUUAGGAGCUGU